UGUGCUGUGGCUUAGUUGGUUAAAGCGCCGCACUAGCGAUACGGAGUCGUGGGUUCGAAUCCCACCAAAACAA
This is a non-coding RNA of Aedes albopictus (Asian tiger mosquito), 73 nucleotides long. NCBI's taxonomy places the organism in Eukaryota, Metazoa, Arthropoda, Insecta, Diptera, Culicidae. The record is from Rfam.